This 118-nucleotide small nucleolar RNA is filed under the name Equus asinus (donkey). RNAcentral describes it as "Small nucleolar RNA SNORA11 (ENSEASG00005038785.1)". It matches the Rfam family "Small nucleolar RNA SNORA11". Rfam says of the family: U107 (SNORA11) is a member of the H/ACA class of snoRNAs that guide the sites of modification of uridines to pseudouridines. This snoRNA was identified by RT-PCR from blood cells and its expression confirmed by Northern blot analysis. The record is from Rfam by way of RNAcentral. Lineage: Eukaryota; Metazoa; Chordata; Mammalia; Perissodactyla; Equidae.
GGGGUUGCUCAACAGUGGGAAGAAACGGCUCCUCUGUUUCCAACACACCCACAGGCAUCUGGGUUCAUUGUGACAGGGCACAAAACUUGUGCCUUCCUAUGAGCAAUACCCUACACGG